RNAcentral lists this ribosomal RNA (623 nucleotides) under uncultured archaeon. Its description in RNAcentral is "bacterial SSU rRNA". It matches the Rfam family "Archaeal small subunit ribosomal RNA", at positions 146 to 774 of the family's 1478-position model. The record is from RNAcentral.
AUAAUACUCCAUAGAUUAGAGACACUGGAAUGUUCUUUAGUCGAAAGUUCUGGCGCCUUAGGAUGGAUCUGCGGUCGAUUAGGUUGUUGUUGGGGUAACGGCCCAACAAGCCUGUAAUCGAUACGGGUUGUGGGAGCAAGAGCCCGGAGAUGGAAUCUGAGACACGAUUCCAGGCCCUACGGGGCGCAGCAGGCGCGAAAACUUUACAAUGCAGGAAACUGUGAUAAGGGAACUCCGAGUGCCCGUAUACGCGGGCUGUCCAGGUGUUUAAAAAUCAUCUGAAGAAAGGGCCGGGCAAGACCGGUGCCAGCCGCCGCGGUAAUACCGGCGGCUCGAGUGGUGGCCACUAUUAUUGGGCUUAAAGCGUCCGUAGCCGGACCGAUAAGUCUCUUGGGAAAUCCGCCGGCUCAACCGGCGGGCGUCUAAGGGAUACUGUUAGUCUAGGGACCGGGAGAGGUGAGAGGUACUCCGGGGGUAGGAGUGAAAUCCUGUAAUCCCCGGGGGACCACCGAUGGCGAAGGCAUCUCACCAGAACGGCUCCGACAGUGAGGGACGAAAGCUGGGGGAGCGAACCGGAUUAGAUACCCGGGUAGUCCCAGCCGUAAACUAUGCGCGUUAGGUGU